CCUACGGGGGGCAGCAGUGGGGAAUAUUGGACAAUGGGCGAAAGCCUGAUCCAGCCAUGCCGCGUGUGUGGAGAAGGCCUUCGGGUUGUAAAGCACUUUCAGUGGGGAAGAAAGCCUUGGGGCUAAUACCCUCGAGGAAGGACAUCACCCACAGAAGAAGCACCGGCUAACUCCGUGCCAGCAGCCGCGGUAAUACGGAGGGUGCGAGCGUUAAUCGGAAUUACUGGGCGUAAAGCGCGCGUAGGCGGUCUGAUAAGCCGGUUGUGAAAGCCCCGGGCUCAACCUGGGAACGGCAUCCGGAACUGUCAGGCUAGAGUGCAGGAGAGGAAGGUAGAAUUCCCGGUGUAGCAGUGAAAUGCGUAGAGAUCGGGAGGAAUACCAGUGGCGAAGGCGGUCUUCUGGACUGACACUGACGCUGAGGUGCGAAAGCGUGGGUAGCAAACAGGAUUAGAUACCCCUGUAGUC
This 465-nucleotide ribosomal RNA is filed under the name Vreelandella stevensii. RNAcentral's name for it is "partial 16S ribosomal RNA". It matches the Rfam family "Bacterial small subunit ribosomal RNA", at positions 338 to 795 of the family's 1533-position model. The record is from RNAcentral. Lineage: Bacteria; Pseudomonadati; Pseudomonadota; Gammaproteobacteria; Oceanospirillales; Halomonadaceae.